UGCCCCGUGGCUGAGUUGGUUACAGCGGUUGACUGUUAAUCAGACGGUCGAGAGUUCGAGUCUCUCCGGGGCAG
Molecule: transfer RNA, 74 nt
Filed under: Cryptococcus deneoformans JEC21
Lineage: Eukaryota; Fungi; Basidiomycota; Tremellomycetes; Tremellales; Cryptococcaceae
Also listed under: 8 other names
Description: tRNA-Asn (GTT) (tRNA-Asn-GTT-1-1, tRNA-Asn-GTT-1-2)
Rfam family: tRNA
About the family: Transfer RNA (tRNA) molecules are approximately 80 nucleotides in length. Their secondary structure includes four short double-helical elements and three loops (D, anti-codon, and T loops). Further hydrogen bonds mediate the characteristic L-shaped molecular structure. tRNAs have two regions of fundamental functional importance: the anti-codon, which is responsible for specific mRNA codon recognition, and the 3' end, to which the tRNAs corresponding amino acid is attached (by aminoacyl-tRNA synthetases). tRNAs cope with the degeneracy of the genetic code in two manners: having more than one tRNA (with a specific anti-codon) for a particular amino acid; and 'wobble' base-pairing, i.e. permitting non-standard base-pairing at the 3rd anti-codon position.
Source: RNAcentral